GAGCUGGCCUGGCCGCCCCUGCGCGCGGAGGAGCCUCGUGGACGGGGGGUGCAGGCGGUGCUGCAGGCGGUGCUGCAGGUGGUGCCGCAGGUGGUGCUGCAGGUGCACCCGACUGCCGAAGCCCCAGCGAGCCCGGGUAUCCAGGUGCUGCAGGCCCAGCCGGCAGAUCGUGCCUCCUACAUCAGUGCCAACCCCGGUGCCGCAGCACCAGCCUGACCGGCUUCCCUCUCCACCCGUGGCUCCAAGGCCAGAGUCAGGCAGCCACGAACCACUUCCGCUGGUUGCUGAUGUCCAAGCUCACGUAGACCCUUGAGCUGCUCCAGCUUGUCCCUCCCGGUCACCGGUGACUCCAGCAUCCACGCCCAUCCAGUGCGGGUCUCGUGGCCCUGCCACUGACCCAGGAGCACCCUUGCAUCUGGCCGGCAGUCCCCUUUCUGCUCUGCUGCAUGGGCGGUUACAGGUCAGGCCCGGUGUUCAGCACAGUCCACCUGGAGCCGUGCAGGUAGGCUCUGCACAGCCCCACGGAGGCCUCCUAGGUGGGCACAAGGACGUCCUGUUGGUGGAGGAAAUUGCAGUGUUCUGGUGUCUGUGCUUGGAGACGGGGGACCCAGAAAGGGUUGUAAGGUGCUGAUAGUUGAAGCUGGCUGCUGGGCACCCAGGGCCCAUUAGGGGCCCCCUACUCUUACACGUUUGAGAUUGUCCAUUAAAAAAAAAAAGACACUAGAGCCCUUUGACUGUUCCCUGUUCCUCGUGUGUCAUCCCUUCCGCCUCACAGGACUGUCAUCAAAGUCCUCACUGGGUUAGCCGGCCGCCCUACCAAGACAGCACGGCCCAGGGGCUCCCAGCAGCUGCAGUCUUCCCACCCUGCAGGAUGGGGACAGGUCUGGUGUCUCUUCCUCUCCGUUAACCUAUGCAAAUGCAGUCACGUUGGGGGUCCAGGUUCAACCUAUGAAUUUGGGGGGGUAUUCAGUCCACAGCCCUCACCCACCUCCAGAAGGGUCUGCUGGGCACGGGCGCCCUACUACGUCUCCCCGUCCCACUUGUGUGGCCGUGUGGCUGAACACCAACCUCAGCCACUGACGACGACAAAGCUCCCUGGGGGCAGACCCCAUGCUGGAAGGAAUCUGGGCCCCUGAGUGGCCCAGGGACGUGGCUGCUGCCCCCUGGGCUCUUCACAUUGGGGCUUCUGCACAAUAAAUAAAAUUCUGUCUUUUCUAAGCCAC
Long non-coding RNA from Canis lupus familiaris (dog), 1223 nucleotides. RefSeq lists it as uncharacterized. NCBI's taxonomy places the organism in Eukaryota, Metazoa, Chordata, Mammalia, Carnivora, Canidae. The transcript has 2 exons. The record is from RefSeq and is a predicted model, not a curated record.